Molecule: ribosomal RNA, 164 nt
Filed under: Diabelia serrata
Lineage: Eukaryota; Viridiplantae; Streptophyta; Magnoliopsida; Dipsacales; Caprifoliaceae
Description: 5.8S ribosomal RNA
Rfam family: 5.8S ribosomal RNA
About the family: 5.8S ribosomal RNA (5.8S rRNA) is a component of the large subunit of the eukaryotic ribosome. It is transcribed by RNA polymerase I as part of the 45S precursor that also contains 18S and 28S rRNA.
Source: RNAcentral
CAAAAGACUUUUUGCAACGGAUAUUUUGGCUCUCGCAUCGAUGAGGAAAGUAGCGAAAAUCGAUACUUGGGGUGAAAUGCAGAAUCCCCUGAACCCUCGAGUUUUUGAAAGCAAAAUGCGCCCGAAACCCCUAGGGCGAAGGCACGUUUUCCCGGGGGUCCCGC